Long non-coding RNA from Sipha flava (yellow sugarcane aphid), 2247 nucleotides. RefSeq lists it as uncharacterized. The record is from RefSeq and is a predicted model, not a curated record. Lineage: Eukaryota; Metazoa; Arthropoda; Insecta; Hemiptera; Aphididae. The transcript is spliced from 5 exons.
UUACUAAUUAUCUCCUGGGAGGGGAUAACCUUAGUACUGAUGUUCCUUAACGGGUUUGAAAUUUUAUUCAUAAAAUAAAUAUAUAUAAAUUAACAUUUUUAUAACAGUACGGUGUGACCCUAAUCAUCAUUGCUGGUUCGUGUUUCUUGUUAAAAUAACUAUUUCGCCCCGUAGCUCAGUGAAUAUUACCACUGAUAAUAAAUAAAAAUAUAGUCUUAUAUUACAUAAGAAUAUAAGAAUAUCUCUUUUAUUACAUUUUUUUUUAAUUUUCUAAUUUAAAUUUUGUUGUAAAAAAAUAGAGCAUUGUUGUACCCAAGGAAAAUACCUUUGCACAAAUAAUUUAUGCUUUCAAGGCUUCAAGAUAAUUAUAACAUUAUUGUAAAAGAAAUACGAUGCUAAUGAAUAAUAAAAACAAUGAGUGAUAUUAAUAAACUCGUGAACUGUAAAACAAAUGAAACAUUUUUCCGUUCACCUGUAAAAUUCACAGUACAAUUUCAAUGAACAAAAUAUCGGUAUCCGCAACCAUUUUUACUACAACCGAUAAUCAUUUUUUUCCGAUUCAUUUGCAAUAUAUAAGUUGUAAAGGAAAAAAUUGUUGAAAAACCAAUUAUCUUAUACUCAAACAAUCUUCAGUGGUAGUUCAUUUUUUACUUGUUCUCUCUACGUGAGAUAUUUAAAUCAAUUGUUUCGAAUCUUCCCACGGCCCACUUGUAAGAUUUAAACUAUGAUAAAAUCACCUUUGAAAAUGUUAAUUUACAGCUAAUUUUUAAAAUAGACGCCUAGCUUAUAUUAUAAUGAAGAAACCGCUUUAUCCGUCAAAUCCUGUAUGUUGUGACAACGUGUUGUUACUUGACUGUGAAACGGCGACGACGGAAUACCAGAAAACCGGUUACCACUACGAAAUCCAACACGCAUGCGGAACUCAAUUUAUCAAGUCCGUUUAUUUCAUCGGUUCGCUCUGGUCUUGGUUUUAGUUAUCAUGUAUCAGUCUUUUAAAAAACGGACCGUGCAGAGCUCAAGUACUCGUAUACAGCUGCCACACCACACCUUUUAAUAGAAUUUGUAUUUAUAUAUAAUGUAAAAUCGGUGUCCGGUAUCCGUUUUCAGCACAGCAAGAAGCGUUGCGAUCCGGUUGACGCAUCAGCGGAACGUUGCGUAAUGGACAGUAUGGCCCAAUGGACACUAUGGCCAUCUGCAUUCAUAUCAAUGCGUUUUGUUUUUAUCGUUUAAAGGUCCGUUUUCACAGUACCGAUAGAAACGGAUGGCUGGGCAAAAAGUAGUUGUGUUAUUUGUUUAACAACUAUAUGGAUUGUGCACAUGACUGCGGUGGUGUAACAAUAUUCCGAAGAAACGAAAAAUAUUCUCGGUCGACCUUUUCCUAAAAAAAAACCAUCGGGUUUGACCAUCGCGGGUACUCGGAAAUGGUGUAAUUUGAUCAUAAUGACAGUGGUCGGAUAAAUUAUCCCGGACGCAGAAACCCAAUUGUCAACAUAUUAAUGGAUUUCAAAUCAUAAACGACAAAAAUCGGGUGAAACUCCUAAGUCAGAGAAGAAACAGGAACAGAUGAAUGAUAUAGGUGAAACCAUGUUUUACCAUUUUUCGAAAAAAAAACGAAUUUUGAGUGAAAGAGUUUGGACGGAUCAGAUUAUAUUUUUAAAUAUAGUUGAUGUUGUGGUAAAACAGAUUUCUUAAUAAUGUAUGUUGAAUUUUUAUAUUCCAUUUUUUUUUUUUUUUUAAAGACAUUUAGGUAAGCAAGUAAAUGACGUUAAAAUGUUAUUAGACCUUUACGUGUUAUCAAACUACAAUUAAUUAACUUAUUUGGUAAAAUUUGAAAACCGCUUGCGUCUAAACAGCACAAAUCAGUGGCGCCCACGUAGGGUGUCAUUUAGUGAAAUUGCACAGGUUUCUCGUGGGUCCCAGGGCCUACAUACAUUUGAUGGCCCCCUCUCUUUGAGAGCAAACACUAUAAAUGCAUAACUAAUCGACUGGAUCUUUAGAUCGUUAAAUAAAACGUAAAGUGUUGGAUAACAUGCAAAAAAAAAUAUAAAUAUAUAGUAACUAAUAUACGAGUAGAUAACUAUAAUAAUGUUGAUUGUGUUUGUAGUUUGUGAACAAUACUUUCCAAACUCCUAUGUACGGACGGAAAUUUCAUGAAGGACAAAUAUUUUUCACGAAACAAUCACUUCAAUUUGAUAUCGAGUAAUUUUCGCACGUCCAGUACCAUACCAAUAUAUUUCAUCCUAAUAU